Molecule: non-coding RNA, 563 nt
Organism: Paramisgurnus dabryanus
Lineage: Eukaryota; Metazoa; Chordata; Actinopteri; Cypriniformes; Cobitidae
Source: RefSeq, a predicted model, not a curated record
UUUUAUUUUAGUAGCCUAUAUUACUUGCUUUUAAUAACAAAAGUCCAGCUGAUUUAAUGUGGUUAUCUUUUUUUUAAGGUAAGUACAAUACAAAUAGCAACUUAUUCCCUAUUUACCAGGAAACUCCUACAUUUGCGGACAUAUUUGAAGUGGUGCUUUGCAAUUUAUUUACUGUAAACACAAGUAUUUUAGCCAAAUAUAAUUUAUGAAAUGGCAAACCAGAAUGAAACAACAGCAGAUAUCAGCUCCCGCUAAAGCAAAAGACGACUACAUGCGUAGGUUAGUGCGCAGGUGUAGAGCGCGCGGCCGUCUGCAGGAGGUUUGCUGGAACGCGAUCCUGAGGUGAAAUUUCUUUAAGAGGUUUUAAAAACGUUCUACACUGUGGAGUACAGCUGCGAGUGAUGUUAGCAGGUUCCGCAUGCUGGAUAAGAACAGCAUUUGUGAGACGACAUCAACUCAUCAUCCGAGUGGACAAGAACACCAACAGAGGAAGCCAAGCCGCAAAAACAAUGAAAAAUUGUCAUGACUUUUUAUUUUAAAUAAAAGUUAUGUGAUAAUAAACA